This 474-nucleotide ribosomal RNA is filed under the name uncultured bacterium. RNAcentral's name for it is "bacterial SSU rRNA". It matches the Rfam family "Bacterial small subunit ribosomal RNA", at positions 28 to 474 of the family's 1533-position model. The record is from RNAcentral.
GACGAACGCNAGCGGCGUGCUUAACACAUGCAAGUCGAACGGAGCGAAUGAAAGCUUGCUUUUAUGAGCUUAGUGGCAAACGGGUGAGUAACACGUAGACAACCUGCCGACAGGAUGGGGACAACAUUCCGAAAGGAAUGCUAAUACCGAAUGAAGUCGAGGGAAGGCAUCUUCCUUCGAUGAAAGAUGGCCUCUAUUUAUAAGCUAUCACCUGUCGAUGGGUCUGCGUCUGAUUAGCUAGUUGGUGAGGUAACGGCUCACCAAGGCGACGAUCAGUAGCCGGUCUGAGAGGAUGAACGGCCACAUUGGGACUGAGACACGGCCCAGACUCCUACGGGAGGCAGCAGUGGGGAAUCUUCCGCAAUGGGCGCAAGCCUGACGGAGCAACGCCGCGUGAGUGAAGAAGGUCUUCGGAUCGUAAAGCUCUGUUGAUGGGGACGAACGUGCGAAGGGUGAAUANUCCUUGCAANGACG